GAUGAACGCUGGCGGCGUGCCUAAUACAUGCAAGUCGAGCGAACGGACGAGAAGCUUGCUUCUCUGAUGUUAGCGGCGGACGGGUGAGUAACACGUGGAUAACCUACCUAUAAGACUGGGAUAACUUCGGGAAACCGGAGCUAAUACCGGAUAAUAUUUUGAACCGCAUGGUUCAAAAGUGAAAGACGGUCUUGCUGUCACUUAUAGAUGGAUCCGCGCUGCAUUAGCUAGUUGGUAAGGUAACGGCUUACCAAGGCAACGAUGCAUAGCCGACCUGAGAGGGUGAUCGGCCACACUGGAACUGAGACACGGUCCAGACUCCUACGGGAGGCAGCAGUAGGGAAUCUUCCGCAAUGGGCGAAAGCCUGACGGAGCAACGCCGCGUGAGUGAUGAAGGUCUUCGGAUCGUAAAACUCUGUUAUUAGGAAAGAAAAUAUGUGUAAGUAACUGUGCACAUCUUGACGGUACCUAAACAGAAAGCAACGGCUAACUACGUG
This 497-nucleotide ribosomal RNA is filed under the name uncultured bacterium. Its description in RNAcentral is "partial 16S ribosomal RNA". It matches the Rfam family "Bacterial small subunit ribosomal RNA", at positions 28 to 507 of the family's 1533-position model. The record is from RNAcentral.